This 68-nucleotide transfer RNA is filed under the name Chrysolina herbacea. RNAcentral's name for it is "tRNA-Pro". The record is from RNAcentral. Lineage: Eukaryota; Metazoa; Arthropoda; Insecta; Coleoptera; Chrysomelidae.
CAAGAAUUAGUUUUAUAUUAAAAUUUUAAUUUUGGAGAUUAAAGAUAAAUAGGGUUAUUUAUUCUUGA